AUAUAUAUAUACACACACACCGAGUACAGCUUAAAGAUCUCCCAUAUUUUGAGGGGGCACUGUGAGGGGGCUAUAGUGGGUGUAGAGAGGCGGGGUAGGUUUAAUUCAGUAGGUUAGGCUCUGCCAUUUUCAGUACCCAUCAUGUGUUGGACCGCUGAACAUCGGGGUCCAAUCCCCAAAGAACCCUGAAUCUUGUUUUAUUCCCUUCACUAGAUCGUGAAGAAUCUGUAUAUGCUCAUGGAUCAUUGUCCAUUUAUCCUAAAGAUUAAAGCAACACAUGCCCUUUACUGCCUCACA
Molecule: non-coding RNA, 297 nt
Organism: Pelobates cultripes (western spadefoot toad)
Lineage: Eukaryota; Metazoa; Chordata; Amphibia; Anura; Pelobatidae
Source: the annotation of a GenBank genome assembly